UUCGUGCCAUGGGCUCCAGGCUGCUCUGUUGGGUGCUGCUUUGUCUCCCGGGAGCAGGCCUGGGAGAGGCUGGAGUCACCCAAACUCCAAGAUACCUGAUCAAGAUGAGAGGACAGCAAGUAACACUGAGGUGCUCCCCUAUCUCUGGGCAUAACAGUGUGUUCUGGUACCAACAGGCCCCAGGACAGGGCCCUCAGUUCCUCUUCAACUACUACAAUGAGAUGCAGAGACAAAAAGGAAACUUCCCUGAACAGAUUCUCAGGGCACCAGUUCUCUAACCACAGCUCUGAGAUGAAUGUGAGCGCCUUGGAGCUGGGGGACUCGGCCCUUUAUCUUUGUGCCAGCAGCUUGGGGGGAGGAGAAGCUUUCUUUGGAGAAGGCACCAAACUCACAGUUGUAGAUGACCUGAGCAAGGUGUUCCCACCCACGGUCGCUGUGUUUGAGCCAUCAGAAACAGAGAUCUCCCGCACCCAAAAGGCCACGCUGGUGUGCCUGGCCACAGGCUUCUACCCUGACCACGUGGAGCUGAGCUGGUGGGUGAACGGGAAGGAGGUGCACAGUGGGGUCAGCACGGACCCGCAGCCCCUCAAGGAGCAGCCCGCCCUCAAUGACUCCAAAUACUGCCUGAGCAGCCGCCUGAGGGUCUCGGCCACCUUCUGGCACAACCCCCGCAACCACUUCCGCUGCCAAGUCCAGUUCUACGGGCUCUCGGAGGACGACGAGUGGACCCAGCCAAGGGCCAAACCCAUCGACCAGAAUGUCAGCGCUGAGGCCUGGGGCAGAGCAGACUGUGGCUUCACCUCGGUGUCCUACCAGCAAGGGGUCCUGUCUGCCACUGUCCUUUAUGAGAUCCUGCUGGGGAAGGCCACCCUGUAUGCUGUGCUGGUCAGUGCCCUCGUGCUGAUGGCCAUGCUCAAGAGAAAGGAUUUCUGAAGUCAGCUCUGGAAGUGGAGUUAGGAGCUUCUAACCUGUCGUGGUUUCAAUACACAUUCUUCUUUCGCCAGCGCUUCUGAAGAGCUGCUCUUGCCCCUCUGUGCAGCUCAAUAUCUGUCCCCUAUAUGCAUGUACACCUGCACACUCAGGGCUGAAAUCUCCCUAACCCAGGGGGACUCUAGCAUCCCUAAGUGACUGAACCAAUAAAAAUGUUCUGCUCUGGCCUGAC
Molecule: non-coding RNA, 1162 nt
Organism: Saimiri boliviensis boliviensis (Bolivian squirrel monkey)
Lineage: Eukaryota; Metazoa; Chordata; Mammalia; Primates; Cebidae
Source: the annotation of a RefSeq genome assembly